This 508-nucleotide ribosomal RNA is filed under the name uncultured bacterium. Its description in RNAcentral is "partial 16S ribosomal RNA". It matches the Rfam family "Bacterial small subunit ribosomal RNA", at positions 30 to 523 of the family's 1533-position model. The record is from RNAcentral.
AUUGAACGCUGGCGGCAUGCCUUACACAUGCAAGUCGAACGGCAGCGGGGGAGAAGCUUGCUUUUCCUGCCGGCGAGUGGCGAACGGGUGAGUAAUACAUCGGAACGUGCCCUGUAGCGGGGGAUAACUAGUCGAAAGAUUAGCUAAUACCGCAUACAACCUGAGGGUGAAAGUGGGGGACCGCAAGGCCUCAUGCUAUAGGAGCGGCCGAUGUCUGAUUAGCUAGUUGGUGGGGUAAAGGGCUACCAAGGCGACGAUCAGUAGCUGGUCUGAGAGGACGAUCAGCCACACCGGGACUGAGACACGGCCCAGACUCCUACGGGAGGCAGCAGUGGGGAAUUUUGGACAAUGGGCGAAAGCCUGAUCCAGCAAUGCCGCGUGUGUGAAGAAGGCCUUCGGGUUGUAAAGCACUUUUGUCCGGAAAGAAAUGGCUCUGGUUAAUACCUGGGGUCGAUGACGGUACCGGAAGAAUAAGGACCGGCUAACUACGUGCCAGCCGCCGCGGUAA